GUGUUCGUGCAGCUGAAGUAUGGAUGGAUGAAUUUAAAGAGCUCUACUACCAUCGCAACCCCCGUGCUCGCUUGGAACCUUUUGGGGAUGUGACAGAGAGGAAGCAGCUCCGGGACAAGCUCCAGUGUAAAGACUUCAAGUGGUUCUUGGAGACUGUGUAUCCAGAACUGCAUGUGCCUGAGGACAGGCCUGGCUUCUUCGGGAUGCUCCAGAACAAAGGACUAACAGACUACUGCUUUGACUAUAACCCUCCCGAUGAAAACCAGAUUGUGGGACACCAGGUCAUUCUGUACCUCUGUCAUGGGAUGGGCCAGAAUCAGGUAGGUAUGAGCCUCAAAAGAGGAGAAAGCUGUGUGUUUUGUUAAAAAAAUUAAAUAUUUGAAUUUUUUUCUUGUAAAAGUAAUAUUUGGGAAAUAUAAAAAGUAGAAGCCUGGGGUGGCCAGACUCAGGGAGACCACUAUUAAAAUUAAAAUGUGUUUUCUUCCCAUCAUUUUUUACACAUAACACAUAGAGAUUAUGUGUUGUAAAUAGUUGUCAUAAUGUCUGUAUGUUUUAUAUUCCAUUAUUUGCAUUCCCUUCAUCUACUUUUCUUAUGUUAUUAGAUAUCCCUUGAGAAUAUCAUUCCUAGUGGCC
This 633-nucleotide small RNA is filed under the name Pan troglodytes (chimpanzee). RNAcentral describes it as "retained intron". The record is from RNAcentral. Lineage: Eukaryota; Metazoa; Chordata; Mammalia; Primates; Hominidae.